Molecule: ribosomal RNA, 443 nt
Filed under: uncultured bacterium
Lineage: Bacteria
Description: partial 16S ribosomal RNA
Rfam family: Bacterial small subunit ribosomal RNA
Source: RNAcentral
CCUACGGGUGGCAGCAGUGGGGAAUAUUGGGCAAUGGGCGCAAGCCUGACCCAGCAACGCCGCGUGGAGGAAGAAGGCUUUCGGGUUGUAAACUUCUUUUGUUAGGGACGAAGCAAGUGACGGUACCUGACGAAUAAGCCACGGCUAACUACGUGCCAGCAGCCGCGGUAAUACGUAGGUGGCAAGCGUUAUUCGUAUUUACUGGGGGUAAAGGGAGCGUAGACGGCGUGGUAAGCCUGAAGUGGAAGCCCGCGGCCCAACCGCGGAACUGCAUUGGGAACUGUUUGGCUAGAGUAGGGGAGGGGGAAGCGGAAUGCCUGGUGUAGCGGUGAAAUGCGUAGAUAUCAGGAGGAACACUCGUGGCGAAGGCGGCUUACUGGACCAUAACUGACGUUGAGGCUCGAAAGCGUGGGGAGCGAACAGGAUUAGAUACCCGUGUAGUC